This 497-nucleotide ribosomal RNA is filed under the name uncultured bacterium. Its description in RNAcentral is "bacterial SSU rRNA". It matches the Rfam family "Bacterial small subunit ribosomal RNA", at positions 791 to 1286 of the family's 1533-position model. The record is from RNAcentral.
UAGUCCACGCCGUAAACGAUGAGUACUAGUUAUUAGAGGUAUUGACCCCUUUUAGUGACGCAGCUAACGCAUUAAGUACUCCGCCUGGGAAGUACGGUCGCAAGACUAAAACUCAAAGGAAUUGACGGGGGCCCGCACAAGCGGUGGAUUAUGUGGUUUAAUUCGAAGCAACGCGCAAAACCUUACCUAGGCUUGAAAUCCUGUGAAUCUGAUGUAAUUGUCGGAGUGCUCGCAAGGGAACACAGUGACAGGUGCUGCAUGGCUGUCGUCAGCUCGUGUUGUGAAAUGUUGGGUUAAGUCUCGCAACGAGCGCAACCCCUAUCCUUAGUUGCCAGCAUUAAGUUGGGCACUCUAGGGAGACUGCCUGGGCAACCAGGAGGAAGGUGGGGAUGACGUCAAGUCCUCAUGGCCCUUAUGCCUAGGGCUACACACGUAAUACAAUGGUGCAUACAAUGGGAAGCGACCCUGCGAAGGUGAGCAAAUCUCAAAAAGUGCAU